Molecule: long non-coding RNA, 1726 nt
Organism: Myiozetetes cayanensis
Lineage: Eukaryota; Metazoa; Chordata; Aves; Passeriformes; Tyrannidae
Exons: 2
Source: RefSeq, a predicted model, not a curated record
GCCAGUGCGUGACACUGCACGUGUGUGUGCCAGUGCGUGUGACACUGCACGUGUGUGUGACUGUGCAUGUGACACUGCACAUGGGUGUGCUCCAGUGCGUGACACUGCACGUGUGUGUGCCAGUGCGUGUGACACUGCACCUGUGUGUGCCAGUGCGUGUGACAGUCUGUACGUGUGUGUGCCAGUGCGUGUGACACUGCACAUGGGUGUGACUGUACAUGUGUGUGCUGGGGUGUGACACACUGAGCACAUGGGUUUGCCAGCGUGCCUGGCUCCGUGUGCCCACCCGUGUGCUGAGGUGCACGGUGCUGUGCAUGUGUGUGUGCCCCUGUGUGGCUCUGUGCACGUGUGUUUGCUGGUCUGCACAGCUCUGUGCACGCACCUGUGGCAGUUUGCACAGUUCUGUGAGCACGUGUUUGCCGGUGUGCACACGUGUGUGCCAGUGGGUGUGACCCUGCACAUGUGUGUGCUGGUGUGCACAGCUCUGCUCAUGUGUGUGCUGAUGUACACAGUGCUGUACACUUGUAUGUGCCACUAUGUGUGGCUCUGUGCACGUGGGUGUGCUGGCAUGCACAGCUCUGUGCACACGUGUGUGCUGAGGUGCGUGGUACCAUGUCCAUAGUGGAUGUCCCACUCUGCAUGGUUCUGUGUACACGUGGUUUGCACAGCGCUGUGUGCACACGUGUGCCGAGGUGCACAGUGCUGUGCACUGCACAUCCCAACUGAUGUGUAAGGUGCUGUGCACAGGUGUGUGCUGGUGUGCGCAGCUCUGUGAGCACGCGUGUGUUGAUGUGCACACAAGUGUUGUGGGAAGGCUCUGCAUGUGCAAGCAGGUCUUGUGCACGUGUGCAUUGACACAGACUCCACAUAUGUGAGUCUGUGCACAGCUCUGCGUGUGUGUGCCACGUGUGUGCUGGUGUGCACAGCUCUGGGUCAGGCAGGUACAGGUGUGCACACAGGCUCUGUGCAGGUACCUGUGUGUGUGUGUGUGUGUGUGUGUGUGUGCAGCUGUGUGCCCCGGCUCCAUAUGUGUCCCCGUGUGCACACACAGGCUGGGAGCGCUCAGGGACGUGGCUGUGGAUACAGGACUCGGUGCAUCCAGCUGCUGUCCCGCCUGGGGAAACAGAACUGUCUGUGUGUGUGUGUGUGUCUGUGUGUGUGUGUGUGCAUAUGUGUGUGUGUGUUCACACGUGUGUGUGUCAUUCCUGAGCUCUGCUGGCUGGAGUGGACCCUGGCUGUGUGUACACACUGUUCUCAUGGCCGAACAGGAUGCCCAGGACAGGGCGUGUGCGUGUCCCCUCCCCUGUCCCCAUCCCCACCGUGUCGUGACAAUCCCACAGGGCUGCCAGUGGUGCUGCCAGGGUCACCUUUGUCCCAACUGUGCCCUUCCAGUCCCCACAGCUCCGGCCCUGUCCCCAUCCCUCCCAGCGUGCCGAGGCAGGCACAGACUGGUAUCCGUGGCAGAGAUGGCGAGAGCCCAGCCGAGGGGACAGGGACAGCCCAGACCGCCCACCAUCGCUCCAGGGCGGUGCCAGGCUGAGGCGUGGGGCGGUGCUGGGCUGUGGCACAGCACACUGACCACGGCAAAGGGACAGCCCUGCGUGUGCUCUGGCACCGCCGGGGGCCGUGGGGGCCAUUGCCACGCUCGUGUCUCCGCGCCGGGGCCGAAGGACCCAGCUCCGAUUGCACUUGUCCCAAAAUAAAGCUCUAUUUUUGUCGUACACCA